Molecule: ribosomal RNA, 447 nt
Filed under: uncultured bacterium
Lineage: Bacteria
Description: partial 16S ribosomal RNA
Rfam family: Bacterial small subunit ribosomal RNA
Source: RNAcentral
CCUACGGGUGGCAGCAGUAGGGAAUUUUCGGCAAUGGGGGGAACCCUGACCGAGCAACGCCGCGUGAACGAAGAAGUUAUUCGUAAUGUAAAGUUCUUUUAACAGGGAAGAAAGAGAAAUUUGACGGUACCUGAAGAAUAAGCCACGGCUAACUACGUGCCAGCAGCCGCGGUAAUACGUAGGUGGCAAGCGUUGUCCGGAUUUACUGGGUGUAAAGGGCGUGUAGCCGGGCUGACAAGUCAGAUGUGAAAUCCCGUGGCUCAACCACGGAACUGCAUUUGAAACUGUCGGUCUUGAGUAUCGGAGAGGCAGGCGGAAUUCCUAGUGUAGCGGUGAAAUGCGUAGAUAUUAGGAGGAACACCAGUGGCGAAGGCGGCCUGCUGGACGACAACUGACGGUGAGGCGCGAAAGCGUGGGGAGCAAACAGGAUUAGAUACCCCAGUAGUC